CGGGUGCGUAACACGUGUGCAACCUGCCUUUAUCUGGGGGAUAGCCUUUCGAAAGGAAGAUUAAUACUCCAUAAUAUAUUGAACGGCAUCGUUUAAUAUUGAAAGCUCCGGCGGAUAGAGAUGGGCACGCGCAAGAUUAGCUAGUUGGUGAGGUAACGGCUCACCAAGGCGAUGAUCUUUAGGGGGCCUGAGAGGGUGAUCCCCCACACUGGUACUGAGACACGGACCAG
This 230-nucleotide ribosomal RNA is filed under the name uncultured bacterium. RNAcentral's name for it is "partial 16S ribosomal RNA". It matches the Rfam family "Bacterial small subunit ribosomal RNA", at positions 103 to 334 of the family's 1533-position model. The record is from RNAcentral.